RNAcentral lists this ribosomal RNA (2756 nucleotides) under Vibrio parahaemolyticus. Its description in RNAcentral is "bacterial LSU rRNA". It matches the Rfam family "Bacterial large subunit ribosomal RNA". Lineage: Bacteria; Pseudomonadati; Pseudomonadota; Gammaproteobacteria; Vibrionales; Vibrionaceae. The record is from RNAcentral.
UGAAUACAUAGGGUAAGGAGGCGAACCGGGGGAACUGAAACAUCUAAGUACCCCGAGGAAAAGAAAUCAACCGAGAUUCCGAAAGUAGCGGCGAGCGAAAUUGGACUAGCCCUUAAGCUUUACACGCGUUAGACGAACGGUCUGGAAAGUCCGACGAUACAGGGUGAUAGUCCCGUAGUUGACGACGUGUGUUCAGUGAAAUCGAGUAGGGCGGGACACGUGAUAUCCUGUCUGAAUAUGGGGGGACCAUCCUCCAAGGCUAAAUACUACUGACUGACCGAUAGUGAACCAGUACCGUGAGGGAAAGGCGAAAAGAACCCCUGUGAGGGGAGUGAAAUAGAACCUGAAACCGUGUACGUACAAGCAGUAGGAGCAGGCUUUGUCCUGUGACUGCGUACCUUUUGUAUAAUGGGUCAGCGACUUAUAUUCAGUGGCAAGGUUAACCAUCUAGGGGAGCCGUAGGGAAACCGAGUCUUAACUGGGCGUUCAGUCUCUGGAUAUAGACCCGAAACCAGGUGAUCUAGCCAUGGGCAGGUUGAAGGUUGAGUAACAUCAACUGGAGGACCGAACCGACUAAUGUUGAAAAAUUAGCGGAUGACUUGUGGCUAGGGGUGAAAGGCCAAUCAAACCUGGAGAUAGCUGGUUCUCCCCGAAAGCUAUUUAGGUAGCGCCUCGGACGAAUACUACUGGGGGUAGAGCACUGUUAAGGCUAGGGGGUCAUCCCGACUUACCAACCCUUUGCAAACUCCGAAUACCAGUAAGUACUAUCCGGGAGACACACGGCGGGUGCUAACGUCCGUCGUGGAGAGGGAAACAACCCAGACCGCCAGCUAAGGUCCCAAAUUACUACUAAGUGGGAAACGAUGUGGGAAGGCUCAGACAGCCAGGAUGUUGGCUUAGAAGCAGCCAUCAUUUAAAGAAAGCGUAAUAGCUCACUGGUCGAGUCGGCCUGCGCGGAAGAUGUAACGGGGCUAAGUAGUAAACCGAAGCUGCGGCAAUGUGCUUUUGCACAUUGGGUAGGGGAGCGUUCUGUAAGCGGUUGAAGGUGUGUGGUAACGCAUGCUGGACGUAUCAGAAGUGCGAAUGCUGACAUGAGUAACGAUAAAGGGGGUGAAAAACCUCCUCGCCGGAAGACCAAGGGUUCCUGUCCAACGUUAAUCGGGGCAGGGUAAGUCGACCCCUAAGGCGAGGCCGAAAGGCGUAGUCGAUGGGAAACGGGUUAAUAUUCCCGUACUUCUUACAAUUGCGAUGGGGGGACGGAGAAGGCUAGGUGGGCCUGGCGACGGUUGUCCAGGUUCAAGUGCGUAGGCUUAAGAGUUAGGUAAAUCCGGCUCUUUUUAAGGCUGAGACACGACGUCGAGCAUCUACGGAUGUGAAGUCAUUGAUGCCAUGCUUCCAGGAAAAGCCUCUAAGCUUCAGAUUGUAAGGAAUCGUACCCCAAACCGACACAGGUGGUCGGGUAGAGAAUACCAAGGCGCUUGAGAGAACUCGGGUGAAGGAACUAGGCAAAAUGGUACCGUAACUUCGGGAGAAGGUACGCUCUCGACGGUGAAGUCCCUCGCGGAUGGAGCUAUUGAGAGUCGCAGAUACCAGGUGGCUGCAACUGUUUAUUAAAAAACACAGCACUGUGCAAAAUCGUAAGAUGACGUAUACGGUGUGACGCCUGCCCGGUGCCGGAAGGUUAAUUGAUGGGGUUAGACUUCGGUCGAAGCUCUUGAUCGAAGCCCCGGUAAACGGCGGCCGUAACUAUAACGGUCCUAAGGUAGCGAAAUUCCUUGUCGGGUAAGUUCCGACCUGCACGAAUGGCGUAAUGAUGGCCACGCUGUCUCCACCCGAGACUCAGUGAAAUUGAAAUCGCUGUGAAGAUGCAGUGUACCCGCGGCUAGACGGAAAGACCCCGUGAACCUUUACUACAGCUUGGCACUGAACAUUGACCCUACAUGUGUAGGAUAGGUGGGAGGCUUUGAAGCACGUACGCCAGUAUGUGUGGAGCCGUCCUUGAAAUACCACCCUUGUAGUGUUGAUGUUCUAACGUCGACCCCUUAUCGGGGUUGCGGACAGUGCCUGGUGGGUAGUUUGACUGGGGCGGUCUCCUCCCAAAGAGUAACGGAGGAGCACGAAGGUGGGCUAAUCACGGUUGGACAUCGUGAGGUUAGUGCAAUGGCAUAAGCCCGCUUGACUGCGAGAAUGACAAUUCGAGCAGGUGCGAAAGCAGGUCAUAGUGAUCCGGUGGUUCUGAAUGGAAGGGCCAUCGCUCAACGGAUAAAAGGUACUCCGGGGAUAACAGGCUGAUACCGCCCAAGAGUUCAUAUCGACGGCGGUGUUUGGCACCUCGAUGUCGGCUCAUCACAUCCUGGGGCUGAAGUCGGUCCCAAGGGUAUGGCUGUUCGCCAUUUAAAGUGGUACGCGAGCUGGGUUUAGAACGUCGUGAGACAGUUCGGUCCCUAUCUGCCGUGGGCGUUGGAAGAUUGAAGGGGGCUGCUCCUAGUACGAGAGGACCGGAGUGGACGAACCUCUGGUGUUCGGGUUGUGUCGCCAGACGCAUUGCCCGGUACGCUAAGUUCGGAAUCGAUAACCGCUGAAAGCAUCUAAGCGGGAAGCGAGCCCUGAGAUGAGUCUUCCCUGAUACUUUAAGUAUCCUAAAGGGUUGUCGGAGACUACGACGUUGAUAGGUCAGGUGUGUAAGUGCUGUGAGGCAUUGAGCUAACUGAUACUAAUUGCCCGUGAGGCUUAACCAUACAACACCCAAGGGGUUU